GGAGUCUGUGUGUCGUAGGAGUUCAUCCGGAAUCUAUCCGCUACAGAAGUUUUGUUGGAGUCCGGUCUCCGUAUAAGUCCGGAUGGAGAUCAUUUGUCGAGGAAGCUCGGUCGAAGCCUGCCUGCAAUAGAAGUUCGGAAGGAAUUCGUUCACAAUAAAAGCUUAGGGGGAGGCUUAUAGUAGAAAUCCGAUGUGGACCGCUUGUAGUAGAAAUUUGGAGCAGACCGCUUGUAGUGGUAGCUCGGAGUAGACCGCUUGUGGUAGGAAUUCAGAGUAGACCGCUUGUAGUGGUAGCUCGGAGCAGACUG
RNAcentral lists this long non-coding RNA (308 nucleotides) under Elaeis guineensis (African oil palm). RNAcentral's name for it is "long non-coding RNA (EGUI_LNC065013)". The record is from RNAcentral. Lineage: Eukaryota; Viridiplantae; Streptophyta; Magnoliopsida; Arecales; Arecaceae.